Molecule: ribosomal RNA, 500 nt
Filed under: uncultured bacterium
Lineage: Bacteria
Description: partial 16S ribosomal RNA
Rfam family: Bacterial small subunit ribosomal RNA
Source: RNAcentral
AUUGAACGCUGGCGGAAUGCUUUACACAUGCAAGUCGAACGGCAGCACGGACUUCGGUCUGGUGGCGAGUGGCGAACGGGUGAGUAAUGUAUCGGAACGUGCCCAGUCGUGGGGGAUAACGUAGUGAAAAUUACGCUAAUACCGCAUACGAUCUAUGGAUGAAAGCGGGGGACCGCAAGCCCCCGCGCGAUUGGAGCGGCCGAUAUCAGAUUAGGUAGUUGGUGGGGUAAAGGCCCACCAAGCCAACGAUCUGUAGCUGGUCUGAGAGGACGACCAGCCACACUGGAACUGAGACACGGUCCAGACUCCUACGGGAGGCAGCAGUGGGGAAUUUUGGACAAUGGGCGAAAGCCUGAUCCAGCCAUUCCGCGUGCAGGAUGAAGGCCCUCGGGUUGUAAACUGCUUUUGUACAGAACGAAAAGGUUUCUACUAAUACUAGGAGCUCAUGACGGUACUGUAAGAAUAAGCACCGGCUAACUACGUGCCAGCCGCCGCCGUAA